RNAcentral lists this ribosomal RNA (388 nucleotides) under uncultured bacterium. Its description in RNAcentral is "bacterial SSU rRNA". It matches the Rfam family "Bacterial small subunit ribosomal RNA", at positions 28 to 417 of the family's 1533-position model. The record is from RNAcentral.
GACGAACGCUGGCGGCGUGCUUAACACAUGCAAGUCGAGCGGUAAGGCCCUUUCGGGGGUACACGAGCGGCGAACGGGUGAGUAACACGUGGGUGACCUGCCCUCAGCUCUGGGAUAAGCCCGGGAAACUGGGUCUAAUACCGGAUAUGACUCCAUGACGCAUGUUGUGGGGUGGAAAGCCUUGUGCGGCUGAGGAUGGGCCCGCGGCCUAUCAGCUUGUUGGUGGGGUGAUGGCCACCAAGGCGACGACGGGUAGCCGGCCUGAGAGGGCGACCGGCCACACUGGGACUGAGACACGGCCCAGACUCCUACGGGAGGCAGCAGUGGGGGAAUCUUGCGCAAUGGGCGAAAGCCUGACGCAGCGACGCCGCGUGAGGGAUGACGGCCU